CCCAAGAGCAGACCGCAGGCAAGAUACCAUUCAUUGGCCUCGCUGCCUGUGCCCGCGGAUUCCGCACGUGGCCACACCUCUUCUAUACAAGGCAAGGUGGCGUGCCUACAUCCAUGCCAUCCUGUUGUUAUCCAUGGAUGAACAACUCAGAAUUUGGAGAAAUGGAUUUGGGGAAAUCUCUGAGACACAUUUUGAAACCAGCGAGGAAUUAGGCUGCAAGCGGCAGCAGCAGUAACAGUGACAGCAGCAAGAAACAGCCACCUGCAUCUCAAGAGUGGCACAGGGCUUCCACUGGCUGAGGCGGACACAUGGCGGAUGUGUAAGAAGCGUGCAGAAAGUGGUCAGUCGUGUGUGCACACACGAAUACAUGCUCAGUGUCAGGCCAAGGCCCUGUGGGCCUAAGGAAAACAAUGUCACGUUUCAACAUGAUUUGGGAAACCCUACUCUCCACUGAAAUCUCAUAUUGGCAGCAGAAAACUCUGCCGAUGCCUCAGAAGCCAAAGAUAACUAAAUUGUGUUUCUUUUAGUUCUUGCAUAGGGGCAAGCCCACUUCACAUUUCAUGAUACACCAACUCCUAGAGAGCUCCUUUGGGGCCCUAUUUAAUUUACUUAACUUUUGUUGGCAAUGGAAAGUGGGCCUGCCACAUUUGAUGACUAGAGCAGGUCCAUCCCAGUCACCUGCCUUCCCAAAAGUGCAUUGGAGAGUGGAACAGAAACCACAACCCACUGUCUCGGACAGGCGUCAGCAUUGUAAAAUACACUCUGGCACCCAGCCCUGGCAGAAUAGUGGUCUACAGAGGCAAAACUUCAGAUUUUUACUAUACCCAAGGCAUAAUGAACUUUAUCGAGGGUAAAUAUUGCCCAGCCUUCUUUCAUGUAGGAACCAAGAAAACUAGACCCAACAGUUUUGCCUUUCCUUCCUUCUCUGUACAUGUUCUUCCUAGUUGUACUGGAUUUUGCUAAUAUCAUAAGCACAGCUGUGAUACAGCCAGGUCUUUAUGCAUGGAUUUUACUCUUUGAGCAGCUUGAAGACAAUUCUGUCUCGCUCUCUCUGGGUUCUCACGAGCACAGAGCUGUAACCAUAAUAAGCUCUCAAUAAAGGUUGAAUAGAGGCCACAGAGAUCUUCAGGCCAGAAGUCAGAGGUCAUUCCUUGAGGACGUGUUAGUGACAGUGUCCUGUACAGUGGCUAGGCAGAGAAAGACUGCUGAGAACAGACAGACCUGGCUUUCAUUAGUUAAGAGAUGGACAGAGGAAGGAGCUCCAUCCACUCACAAAGACAGUGGCCUCCAUAUCCCGAGAGGGGAGUCAGGAGCAUGACAUGUUCUACACAACUACAGUCUUCAUCAUAAUCCCAAAGGCAGCCAUAACCAUGGGUAAUUGGGAUAAUAUUUAGAAAAUAUUUGCAUGCCAAAACUGACAUUUUUAGAGGCCAUGGAGAAACAGGUUUCCAAUGUCAAGUUUUGUUGAAAGAGGACACACAUUAUUCUAGAUUCUGAAAGUUCCCUUCAUCUUCAAAGAGCUAGGCCUUGCCAGUGUGACUGUGGAGCUUGCUAUAAGCCUGAAUAAAGAGAAGACAGAGGACAUCAAGUUAGGGAAACCCCACCCAACAGGAAGGAGACACUCUUCUGGCCAAGAGGCAAGUUGGGGAGGGAGGGAUGCAGAGAGAAGAGAAGAUGAGAGAAGUUAAGGCUGAGCUAGUAUCUGAGAAUACCUCACAUGUGCCCCACAGCCUGCCUCUUCCUCUGCUACACUGUGGCCAGAAAGGGGUCUCAGUGUUCUACGUGCCCCCAGAGGGUGUAGCUGCGAGCCAGACUGCUGAGAGGUCACCUUUGCAGAGCCUAGAGACAGAUGACAGACAAAGCUGAGAUUUAGAGAUCUUUGGGGCCAGGAAGAUCUGAGCAGUGGAGGUCCCAAAGCACCAGCAGAGACAGCUAGACCUAGUGGCCCCAGAAUUGGAUGCUCAAAGACAUGAUCAGGCCAGGCCCAGCUCAAUCAGCACCUGCUAUGUCUCAAAGGCAGGAUGAGUUCAGAGGCACCACUCCACACUGUGAGAAUCCAUAAUUGUUUCCCUCUUCCAGCUGCCAACCUGGGACAUAGAGAGUGAAGAGACAUCCUUUGAGAAGGAAAUCUUAAUUUUUAUUUAACUGUGUAUUUACCCAAAAGAAAGUGAGUUAGACCAAAAGAGUCUAAGUUGCUUUCAAUGGGCAAGUUUAAGGUUCUCCCUCCUUCCUCUGCCAUCAACAGGAAAUGAUGAGAUCCAUAUAGAGAAUAUUUAAAAGGAAAUAAAUUAUCAUUUUCUGCC
This 2303-nucleotide long non-coding RNA is filed under the name Homo sapiens (human). RNAcentral describes it as "HSALNT0304029". Lineage: Eukaryota; Metazoa; Chordata; Mammalia; Primates; Hominidae. The record is from RNAcentral.